AGCUCCAAUAGCGUAUAUUAAAGUUGCUGCAGUUAAAAAGCUCGUAGUUGGAUCUCGGGUGCAGGCUUGCGGUCCGCCUCGCGGCGGUCACUGCUCGCCCUGACCUCCAGGCCGGUGUCACCGUCCCUUGGUGCUCUUGAUUGAGUGUCUCGGGCGGCCGGUACGUUUACUUUGAAGAAAUUAGAGUGCUCAAAGCAGGCCCUUGCCGCCUGAAUAAUGGUGCAUGGAAUAAUGGAAUAGGACCUCGGUUCUAUUUUGUUGGCUCUCGGAGCUCGAGGUAAUGAUUAAUAGGGACUGACGGGGGCAUUCGUAUUGCGGCGCUAGAGGUGAAAUUCUUGGACCGUCGCAAGACGAACUACAGCGAAAGCAUUUGCCAAGCAUGUUUUCAUUA
Molecule: ribosomal RNA, 391 nt
Filed under: Mya sp.
Lineage: Eukaryota; Metazoa; Mollusca; Bivalvia; Myida; Myidae
Description: partial small subunit ribosomal RNA
Rfam family: Eukaryotic small subunit ribosomal RNA
Source: RNAcentral